Molecule: ribosomal RNA, 305 nt
Filed under: uncultured bacterium
Lineage: Bacteria
Description: bacterial SSU rRNA
Rfam family: Bacterial small subunit ribosomal RNA
Source: RNAcentral
GCAUCCCUACGGGGGGCAGCAGUGAGGAAUAUUGGUCAAUGGGCGGGAGCCUGAACCAGCCAAGCCGCGUGAGGGAAGAAGGUACAGCGUAUCGUAAACCUCUUUUGUCAGGGAACAAAGGCGGGGACUAGUCCCCGGAUGAGGGUACCUGAAGAAAAAGCAUCGGCUAACUCCGUGCCAGCAGCCGCGGUAAUACGGAGGAUGCGAGCGUUAUCCGGAUUUAUUGGGUUUAAAGGGUGCGUAGGCGGAACAUUAAGUCAGCGGUAAAAUCGAGGGGCUCAACCCCUUUAAGCCGUUGAAACUGG